RNAcentral lists this unclassified non-coding RNA (157 nucleotides) under uncultured Helotiales. RNAcentral's name for it is "sequence contains ITS1". The record is from RNAcentral. Lineage: Eukaryota; Fungi; Ascomycota; Leotiomycetes; Helotiales.
CAGAGUUCAUGCCCUUACGGGUAGAUCUCCCACCCUUGAAUACUAUACCUUUGUUGCUUUGGCGAGCCGCCUCGGCUACCGGCUUCGGUUGGUAUGUGCCCGCCAGAGGACCCCAAACUCUGAAUGUUAAUAUCGUCUGAGUACUAUAUAAUAGUUA